UGUAAAAGGGACCUGGAUCUGGCUUUUAGUGCAAAAGCAGAAAAUUCAGACCGUGUCCUAACUACACAGUCAUUUCUGGUCCUUCCCCAGCUCAGUGAGUCAGCCGGGAGAAGCACCUCGCAGUGACCAUCCACUCCCCGAGCCAGGGGAAGUUCACGCCUGCCCGUCUGAGACAGGACCACGUCUCUUCCUAAAUGUGAGCGUCUUCUCCAGCAGGCAAGUCUGUGAAACAAGCACCUGCUAAAAACCUACUAGGAACCAGGUGUCGUGAUCAUUACUACGCUCGCCUUCAGAAGGCUCGUCACCUGCAGGCAAAAAGCCGGAAUCUGUGCAGGACGCACUGCCAGGUGUGAGGUCAGCAGAGGAUGGAGCAGCGUGUUCUCACUGGGUGGUUAAGGGAAGACUCAACAUUUUAGUGGAUCUUAGGGCAGGAUGUAAAACAAAAACGCAAUGGAAGGAGUGUAGAAUUUCAGCUCAAACACUUCCUGCUUCAGGAAGCAGUUGAGCGGUUACAAGGCUGCGAUUGUGUCACGUCCACCCCCAGUAACGACAGACCUGCCAGGACCCUGCGGUUGCUCAAGCAGCGGCCUCAGGGCCCGGGGGAGCCAGAGCACAGCCCUGUGGGGGGAGCCAGGCCCCUUCCUCGUGUGCCCUGGGGUGCUGGCUUCCCACGCCCAGGGUCAAGUGAGUCUUUUCACGCCCUGGCCCAAGAAGAGGCCUUGCCUUCACAACAGCCGUUUCCCUGGAGUAACGGUGAGGAAGUGGCCAGGCAGAUGGAGAGCCUGCGGGAUGAAGGCCGUGCAGUUCACUCCUCGGUAAGGAGCCCGCUGAGUUAAAGCUGUGUUUGCAACGGAAGUGAGAAGUUCAUCAGGACAGGCACGUGGCCCAGAAACCUCUGUCUUCCCCAGGUCCCCGCUGGCCCCUGCGGUGUCUCUGUGAGAACCAGAAAAAGACCCCUGUCCUCGAUGUCAGCCGACCGUCCCCAGGCGGGCCUGGCCAGCACAACCCACGCACUGGUUUCACAGCGGACAGAGGCAGGCCUGGGCGGUGUGGGGACUUCGCACAGGCCACACGGGCUCCUGAGUCACCGGACCUGAUAGAAGCCAGAAAAACAAGGUACUGACGGCGGGUGGUGCAGUGCGGCCCACACCGCCCAGCGGCCGCAGCAUCCCUGCACACAUGCCAGAAACUCGGCCCCGUCGCAGACAGACUGAACCAGCAAUUCUGGGCUCUGAUGUGCGCAGAGGUCGGAACCACGGGCAAGACAUGGGCGCUCAGACCUCCUGGGUUUCAAGCCAUCUCUGUACGUCACUCAGGGACAGUCACCUGACCUCCCCGAGUGCUGGGAAACAAGCUGCUGGAAGACAAGCCGCACCUAAAUUUCCGUGAGCUUAAAAUACUGUAUUCACACUUACUUGCUUAAAAUGCACAUGCUUGCUUUGUUUUAAUGUUUCACACAGUAGAUGAAAUGUGUGAGGAGAAAUCCUGAGAUUGACCGUAAGGGCACGAAGGAGGGCGGGUACUUCCUUAGGGUGAGACAAUGGACAGUCCUGGAAAGCCAGAUUACCCAUUAACAGAACUUGGUUCUGCAUGAAAGCAUGCGGUUUAACCCGAGGGAGGUAUUUGCUAUCUCGAGAUGUCCUGGAGGCAUUAACAGGAUAGACUUAGACAUUUUGCAAACCCCCAGGAGGGUGACUGUUCCUGGAAGGGAAGGGCCUGAAAUUAAUCAGUUAGCCAGCAAGCAGAACUUCGUGCUUCUGGCAUGGAGUGUCUAAAGCCCCCCUCCCUGAUCGCAUUUUUUCCUGAGCUGUAACUCCUAAUAAACAUGAUGUCGGCCAGGCUUUCGGGGCUCUGGAUCCACGAGAGCUUGAGUCCCCUGGUCGCGUCUUUGCUCUUUA
Camelus dromedarius (Arabian camel) is the source of this 1898-nucleotide long non-coding RNA. RefSeq lists it as uncharacterized. The transcript has 2 exons. NCBI's taxonomy places the organism in Eukaryota, Metazoa, Chordata, Mammalia, Artiodactyla, Camelidae. The record is from RefSeq and is a predicted model, not a curated record.